Molecule: long non-coding RNA, 771 nt
Organism: Panthera uncia (snow leopard)
Lineage: Eukaryota; Metazoa; Chordata; Mammalia; Carnivora; Felidae
Exons: 3
Source: RefSeq, a predicted model, not a curated record
CAGGAUACAACUAUGUACCAUGGCAUAAAUAAAGUGCCCUUGACAGGGAAAGGGAAGAGGAAUUAGUUAUUUCUAAAGAAGUCGGGGAAUAUUCAGAAAGUAAAGAUGAGUGUGGCAGUCUGAAUGAAGCAACUAGAAAUUUAACAUUGAGAUGGCAGUCAAGGAUAGGCCCUUAGGGAAAAUUUAAGAAUUAGACAAAGGCAAAGUAAUAGAGAAAACUGAGAAGACAGAGGGGAAAAGAAAAAAACAAAAGGAAAUGGUGAACUCAAACCCAGAAAGGAGAACAUUCCAAGUCAGAAACGGUUUAUAAAGUUGUUUCCUGGGAGAUCAUGAGAUGUCAUCUGAGAAGAGGCCAUUUGAUUUGAAAUUAUGGAAGUCUUGAAGACAAUCUAGAUUAUAGUCAUUUGAGAGAUGAAAAGGAGAGAGAGACAGAGCAUGAACGGGGAAGGGGCAGAGAGAGAGGGAGACACAGAAUCGGAAGCAGGCUCCAGGCUCUGAGCCAUCAGCCCAGAGCCUGACGGGGGGCUCGAACUCACGCUCCGCGAGAUCGUGACCUGAGCUGAAGUCGGACACUUAACCGACUGAGCCACCCAGGCGCCCCAAUGUAAUUACAAAUUAUUGUAAUAAUGAAGAAGACUCAGUCUAAUGGCAAGACUUAAAUAAUACUGAGACCACCAUGUGGAUGAGCUAGCCUGCUGAAGAAUGAAAAGCCACAUAUGGAAAAGAAUCCAGCACCCUGGUCAAAAGCCAUACAGCCAUGAGCUGACAGCC